GUUUUAUUGAUCUUUGAUGUUAUUUGAUCAAUUACAAUCUACAAAAAAUAUACCACAGAAUAAAAAAACCUUACAAGUAACAUCAGCCUUUUGAAAGCUUAUCUACUUGAAAGAUUUUUUCAUUCUGCUGUAUUUACAAACCAAAAAGUUGGAAAAGAUGGUUGGAAAUAAAAAAUACCCCUGAUGAGGUCUUUAACAAUGUUUGCACCCAAUGGAAGUUGAGCACAAACACUUUAAAUCCCUCCAAAGGAUAUUUUUUAUUUGAGUGAAUAACUUCAGCAGCAGAUGUUAUGCCAAACCUGUGGCCUGGACAUCUUUAAAAAAUUAGAUUUUUUAAAGAUAGCAAGACUACAGCUUCAUAGCUAGCGAGAAAGUACAAUCUCAGAAGGUGUUUCAUGGAAAAAUCCGAAGAUUUUUCCAUGAAACGAGCCUUCAUCAAUUGCACUUCACAGGACUAGUUACAAAAUAAUUUAAACAAUUUAAUCAACUUCCUCGAUGGUUGGUCCUUGUUGUCCAUGGCCACCAAAGCCUCCUGCUUGUUGUCCGCAGCUACCUCCAGGCAUGCCACCUGCGCCAGGCAUGCCUCCACCAUACUGGUUGUUGUUCUGUCCACCGCCAUACAGCUUAGCCAUGAUAGGACUGCAGAUUCUGGUGAGUUCUUUUUCUUUGUCUUCAAAUUCUUCUUUUUCAGCCAAAUUAUUGCUAUCCAGCCAUCUUAGGCAAGAUUCACAUUCUCUCUCAAUGGUGGCUUUGUCAUCGGAUGAAAGUUUGUCUCCACAGUCCUGUGCAGCCUGUUUGAGUUGGAAGAUGUAGGCCUCAAGCUUGUUCUUUGCUGCAAUUCUCAUACGUUGUUUCUCAUCUUCUUCUUUGUACCUUUCGGCUUCUUCCACCAUUCUGUCGAUGUCUUUCUGAGAGAGUCGGCCUUUGUCAUUCUUGAUUGUGAUGUUUCUAGAGUUACCCGAGCUGGUAUCUUUGGCAGAGACGUUCAGAAUGCCGUUGGCAUCAAGAUCAAAUGUGACUUCAAUCUUGGGUACGCCGCGAGGUGCUGGAGGAAUGCCAGUUAGGUCAAAGGUGCCCAGUAGGUUGUUGUCCUUGGUCAUAGCUCUCUCACCUUCAUACACUUGGAUGGUGACUGCAGGUUGGUUGUCUGCAUAUGUUGUGAAGGUCUGCGUCUGCUUGCAGGGAAUUCUGCUGUUACGCUCGAUGAUCUUUGUCAUUACACCACCAGCAGUUUCAAUACCCAAUGACAGUGGGGCGACGUCCACCAGCAAUACAUCCUGGAUCUUUGAGUCAGUACUACCAGUGAGGACAGCCGCUUGAACAGCUGCACCAUAGGCAACAGCUUCAUCU
This 1350-nucleotide unclassified non-coding RNA is filed under the name Hevea brasiliensis (rubber tree). The record is from RNAcentral. Lineage: Eukaryota; Viridiplantae; Streptophyta; Magnoliopsida; Malpighiales; Euphorbiaceae.